GCCAGGUGUGGUGAUGCACACCUGUAAUCCCAGCUACUCAGGAGGCUGAGACAUGAGAAUUGCUUGAACCUAGGAGGCAGAGGUUGCAGUGAGCUGAGAUCAUGCCACUGCCCUCCAGCCUGGGUGACAGAGCAAGACUCUGUCUCAA
Molecule: non-coding RNA, 148 nt
Filed under: Gorilla gorilla gorilla (western lowland gorilla)
Lineage: Eukaryota; Metazoa; Chordata; Mammalia; Primates; Hominidae
Source: Rfam by way of RNAcentral